This 366-nucleotide long non-coding RNA is filed under the name Cricetulus griseus (Chinese hamster). Its description in RNAcentral is "lncRNA (ENSCGRG00000026150.1)". Lineage: Eukaryota; Metazoa; Chordata; Mammalia; Rodentia; Cricetidae. The record is from RNAcentral.
UUUGACUUUAUGCCUUUAGGUUAAUGAUGUUUUAAUAGUAUUUAGAAGAAAUUAAAAUUUUAAUUUAAAAUAAUUAAAUUUUGUUAACAGAGUAUGCAUGCCUUUCUUGAUGAAGAACAUAAAUGUCCUUUAAAUUUUGAAAUUAAUAAAGAGGAGACAGAGAAUUUUGGUAUAUGUCAUGGAAUUUUCAGGCAUAACUUGCAAGAGUAUAAACACCAAGUUGAAGAGUUUCACGAUACCAUUCAAAACUUUCUGAGUAAAGUCAAGGAUGAACACAACAAGCUUGUGACACUGAAGAUGCAGUUAAAGAAGGUCUGUGGGGUAGAAAAUAUGAUGUUUGCAUUUAUUUUAUUAUCUACUAUUCUG